AGGCAAGUAGCUCAGUUGGUUAGAGCACCACCUUGACAUGGUGGGGGUCGUUGGUUCGAGUCCAAUCGCGCCUACCA
RNAcentral lists this transfer RNA (77 nucleotides) under Pseudomonas syringae pv. antirrhini str. 126. RNAcentral describes it as "tRNA-Val". It matches the Rfam family "tRNA". Rfam says of the family: Transfer RNA (tRNA) molecules are approximately 80 nucleotides in length. Their secondary structure includes four short double-helical elements and three loops (D, anti-codon, and T loops). Further hydrogen bonds mediate the characteristic L-shaped molecular structure. tRNAs have two regions of fundamental functional importance: the anti-codon, which is responsible for specific mRNA codon recognition, and the 3' end, to which the tRNAs corresponding amino acid is attached (by aminoacyl-tRNA synthetases). tRNAs cope with the degeneracy of the genetic code in two manners: having more than one tRNA (with a specific anti-codon) for a particular amino acid; and 'wobble' base-pairing, i.e. permitting non-standard base-pairing at the 3rd anti-codon position. The record is from RNAcentral. Lineage: Bacteria; Pseudomonadati; Pseudomonadota; Gammaproteobacteria; Pseudomonadales; Pseudomonadaceae.